This is an RNA transcript of Daphnia pulex (common water flea), 2761 nucleotides long. RefSeq lists it as uncharacterized. The record is from RefSeq and is a predicted model, not a curated record. The transcript has 13 exons. Lineage: Eukaryota; Metazoa; Arthropoda; Branchiopoda; Diplostraca; Daphniidae.
CGUUGCGACUUGCGAGUGUCGGUGGUGUCGGACUGUCGGUUAAGAGGCGUACACAUCAAGAAUUCGUGGUAGUGAAACAGCAAUGCAAAGCACCGCGUGUGAAUUGUCCUUAGAGAGAAGAAAAAAAUUUCACACAGUUAGUAAGGUAAGAAUUGUAGAAUUCCAGAGAAGAGUUAAGUAAAAGUUGAAGUGUGAAAAUUAAAGUCUUUCAAUAAGAUAUGACAACACAAAGUUGAAGAAUUUACUAAUUUAGCCCUGACUGCUGGAGUGGAGUGGCGCCAAUUUGCUGUUAGCCCCUUUUGUGAUGUCAUGGUGAUGUGUUCAAUGUCAAGUAAUGCAUAUUAAUAGCUGGACCUGCUGGACCCUGACAAAUUAUUACUCGCACUUGAGAACAGGCUGGUAAAUUCUGAGCUUCUGAGUGUCAGUCAAAGGCGCUAUGUGCAGAUUGUUUUGUUGCUGCCAGCCAGUGAUAGGUGUUCUUCUUGCUACCUUUACCAGCUGUAUGUUUCGUAAUCGCCGAAAUGUCGGCGAUUGUUAGCUGUAUCUAUUCGGCUCUACGGCUCAUCUCGUGCAUUAUCACUAAAGAGCUUUUUAUGUUUAGUUCAGAGACAGAGAUCCCUUUGCACAACUGUUGCAGAAAUUGAAAACACAACAAAGUCUGAGCUUCAUGGCUGUCAUUCAUUUAACAUGGUUUUGUUGCAGCCAGCUGGUGAAAGGUGUGAUCGAGUCAAGUUGAGCUGCUGCAUGCAGUUUAUUGAGCUGGUGUUAUCUGAAGUGUCACUGCAGGAAGACUUCUUGAAUUGGAUUUCGUGGUUGGUUUGAUGUUUAUGGUGUUGCUGUUUUGUGUACAGUGGUUUUGCAGCCCCUUUCCAAUUGAGAGAUGCUCUGAAAUGGAGUUUGGUGGAGACUUGCAGUUCAACAUAACACUUAAAUGUGUCAUUUGCCUAUGUUGGUGUCCAUGCAGUAAAUGCAGUAUUGAACAGUUGGGUAACAUGAUUUUCUUCUCUGACCGCAGGUGCAAGGAUUACGUGUUUGAAACUUAGAUAAGUUUGCAGUAGAAUAUUUUCAAAAAAAGCCGACUCUCCUUCAUCAAACGGUUCGAAAUACCCAUCCCCAGCAACGUCAACCUACAGAAAGAAAAAGGCUAGUUUCUAUGGCCUUGAAGUUCGCGGUGAUCAUUACGCAAAACGUGUCAUGCAGUGGUGUAGAGGUUGGGUGAGAACGACACGUGUUGCAUUAUCAAAAAGGUCCAACAGCCGCAAGGCUUAGGAGGUGAGGGUGAGGAAAAAAUCGUAUAAAAGGAGAGAGAAAAGGCGAUUGAAACCAGUCGAGUGAGCAUCUCCGACACGGCAACAACUCCAUUCUUCUUCGUAAUAUCAGUUCGCAAUCAUGGUUAAUUAUGGCGGUGUGUUGCUGCCGGGUGUUGUAUCGUUGAUGUCGACUACGAGAGAAAAUUGUAUAAAAGGUAAGAGAAAAGGCGACAGAAGUCAAUCAAGUGAGCAUCUCCGACCCGUCAACAACUGCAUUCUUCGUCGUAUUAACAGGUCGCAUUCGCAAUCACGGUUAACUAUGGCGUCGUGCAGCUAUUGGUUGUUUCGUCGAUUUCUGGGUCGACCACUGGUGUGCUGAUGCCCCUGGGUAUGGCGGAUACCAAACCGCAACGCCUUCGCCUUACUACACUACAGCAAACGCAACGACCAGUUACUACACUGAGGUUGCACAGUUAGGUUUACAGUUACACCACCAAGGGUCCAGGUACACCAUAACUUGUGCUACUCCGAGCUACUACACCGAAGACCAGAAGUUUUAUUCUUCCCCGGGCUACACUACCAAAUCGCAUGUGCACACCCCCAAGGCUCGGAAGUACUAAACCCCCAAGGCACCUGAGACUACACUGUAACUACGUAUGCUGUCCCAAGUAGUACACCAAGGCUCCAAAGUACUGCAGCACUAAGGCACUGGACUAUUACACGACUAUACAUGCUGCUCAACCUACGACACCGAGGCUCCAGCUUAUUACACCACCAAAGGGGUCGAACACAGUAGCGCCCAAGUACGUAGCAUCUCCGACACCGAACACGGCAGCCCCGAAGUUUCGAAUAAUCUUCGUUUCAAACAGUGGAACGACAAAGAGUGAGGCAAAGAUACCGGCGGCGUAGCAUUCGUACGUGUACACCGCUUUAAACUUGACAUUGUUGGUCGGAAAGCCGAACUUGACGAUGGCCGUACCAUCACCUACGACAAGUGCGUUAUUGCCACAGGUGGUAUGUCUUUUCCGAUCCCUGAGCGGUGCCCUCAAAGAUGCCCACGAGCACGUAACGCUGUUCCGCAACAUCGAUGGCGGUAACAUAGGCCGAGUCCUCCCUAAAUAUUUGAGCCAAUGGACUUCCGAGAAGGUGAAAGCGCAAGGUGUCAAUGUGUUGCCCAAAGCCAAUGUUGAGGGUGCAAUUUUGGAAGACUACAAGCUGGAGAUGUUGCGUUCUUUUGUGAUAUCAAAUUGGGUCGUCGUCGGAUGGAACAUCACCACUUUGCUGUUGUAUCAGGGCGAUUGGCUGGAGAGAACAAUACUGGCAACGAAACAUGGAUGAACAACUGCAGUGCACUGUCACCAAGUGCAUUCUUCGUCGUAUUAUCAGUACGCAAUCGGUGUCGUGCUGUUGCCGUUUGUCGUAUCGUUGAAGGUUGGGUCGAUCACUGGUGUAUCCAUGUCUCCUGGGUAUGGCGGAUACCAAAGCACCACGCCGUCGCCUUGCUACACAAC